RNAcentral lists this unclassified non-coding RNA (311 nucleotides) under plant metagenome. RNAcentral's name for it is "partial contains 5.8S ribosomal RNA, internal transcribed spacer 2, and large subunit ribosomal RNA". The stretch from base 1 to 105 matches the Rfam family "5.8S ribosomal RNA", at positions 50 to 154 of the family's 154-position model. The record is from RNAcentral.
GAAAUGCGAUAAGUAGUGUGAAUUGCAGAAUUCAGUGAAUCAUCGAAUCUUUGAACGCACAUUGCGCCCCUUAGUAUUCCAUGGGGCAUGCCUGUUCGAGCGUCAUUUCCACCAUCAGGCCCCCGGGCCUGUGUUGGGGACCUGCGGCUGCCCGCAGGCCCCGAAAUUCAGUGGCGGUCGCGCCGUAGCAACCGAGCGUAGUAACUAAAACGUCUCGCUCUGGCUCGCUGGGCGCGCUCCGGCCGUAAAACACCCCCCCUUUUCGCAAAGGUUGACCUCGGAUCAGGUAGGAAUACCCGCUGAACUUAAGC